Molecule: long non-coding RNA, 518 nt
Filed under: Ornithorhynchus anatinus (platypus)
Lineage: Eukaryota; Metazoa; Chordata; Mammalia; Monotremata; Ornithorhynchidae
Description: lncRNA (ENSOANG00000037545.1)
Source: RNAcentral
CGGAAUGUACAGCUGGUUUUUGGCCUAGCUGUAGGGCCGGCACGGGAUGGGCCAGGCCCAUGAAUUCUAGGUGGAUUUAGGUGAUGGAGUGGACAUCCCGGGGCCAAAGAAGCUUCUCGCACUCCUCCAAUGCACUAGGCCGAUAUUGCUGCCAUGGGCCAAUGUUGUCACCUUGGGCUGAUGUCACCACCUUGACUCCGUAGGUAACAAUUUUUUUAUCUCCCCAGCUCUCUGUCUCAGGCGGCCCAGAGUGGUUUAGUGAGUUGUGGGAGGUCACACGGCAGACUGGGGCAGAACUGGGAUCAGGACCUGGGAUUUCUGCCACCUUCCAGUCCCGUGUGCCAUCCACUAGGCCCUGUGACUCCUCCUCCCACCACCAAGGGAGGGGAACAUGGACACAGCCCCCUGCCAGAAGAGCUGAAUUUGCCUCGCAGGGCAGACGUGGCUCCCCCUGCUCCCGGGCCCCAAUGAACGCCUGCACUAGGCCCCAGGCCUGGAGUGAUUUGCCCGAGGAGUGA